Molecule: ribosomal RNA, 521 nt
Filed under: uncultured bacterium
Lineage: Bacteria
Description: bacterial SSU rRNA
Rfam family: Archaeal small subunit ribosomal RNA
Source: RNAcentral
AACCUCCGCAAUGUGAGAAAUCGCGACGGGGGGAUCCCAAGUGCCAUUCUUAACGGGAUGGCUUUUCAUUAGUGUAAAAAGCUUUUGGAAUAAGAGCUGGGCAAGACCGGUGCCAGCCGCCGCGGUAACACCGGCAGCUCUAGUGGUAGCAAUUUUUAUUGGGCCUAAAGCGUCCGUAGCCGGUUUAAUAAGUCUCUGGUGAAAUCCUGUAGCUUAACUGUGGGAAUUGCUGGAGAUACUAUUAGACUUGAGACCGGGAGAGGUUAGAGGUACUCCCAGGGUAGAGGUGAAAUUCUGUAAUCCUGGGAGGACCGCCUGUUGCGAAGGCGUCCAACUGGAACGGUUCUGACGGUGAGGGACGAAAGUUAGGGGCGCGAACCGGAUUAGAUACCCGGGUAGUCCUAACUGUAAACGAUGCGGACUUGGUGUUGGGGUGGCUUUGAGCUGCUUCAGUGCCGAAGGGAAGCUGUUAAGUCCGCCGCCUGGGAAGUACGGUCGCAAGACUGAAACUUAAAAGGAAA